This 499-nucleotide ribosomal RNA is filed under the name uncultured bacterium. Its description in RNAcentral is "partial 16S ribosomal RNA". It matches the Rfam family "Bacterial small subunit ribosomal RNA", at positions 28 to 507 of the family's 1533-position model. The record is from RNAcentral.
GACGAACGCUGGCGGCGUGCCUAAUACAUGCAAGUCGAGCGAAGUUUUUCUGGUGCUUGCACUAGAAAAACUUAGCGGCGAACGGGUGAGUAACACGUAAAGAACCUGCCUCAUAGACUGGGACAACUAUUGGAAACGAUAGCUAAUACCGGAUAACAGUAUUUCUCGCAUGAGAGAUAUUUAAAAGUUGGUUAUGCUAACACUAUGAGAUGGCUUUGCGGUGCAUUAGCUAGUUGGUGGGGUAAAGGCCCACCAAGGCGACGAUGCAUAGCCGACCUGAGAGGGUGAUCGGCCACACUGGGACUGAGACACGGCCCAGACUCCUACGGGAGGCAGCAGUAGGGAAUCUUCCGCAAUGGGCGAAAGCCUGACGGAGCAACGCCGCGUGAGUGAAGAAGGAUUUCGGUUCGUAAAGCUCUGUUGUUAGGGAAGAAUGGAUAUGUAGUAACUAUACAUGUAAGAGACGGUACCUAACCAGAAAGUCACGGCUAACUACGUG